Molecule: ribosomal RNA, 253 nt
Filed under: uncultured bacterium
Lineage: Bacteria
Description: partial 16S ribosomal RNA
Rfam family: Bacterial small subunit ribosomal RNA
Source: RNAcentral
UACGUAGGGUGCAAGCGUUGUCCGGAAUUAUUGGGCGUAAAGAGCUCGUAGGCGGUUUGUUGCGUCGGCUGUGAAAACCUGAGGCUCAACCUCAGGCCUGCAGUCGAUACGAGCAGACUAGAGUGUUGCAGGGGAGACUGGAAUUCCUGGUGUAGCGGUGAAAUGCGCAGAUAUCAGGAGGAACACCGGUGGCGAAGGCGGGUCUCUGGACAGUUCCUGACACUGAGGCACGAAGGCCUGGGGAGCAAACGGG